Molecule: transfer RNA, 74 nt
Filed under: Spirochaeta lutea
Lineage: Bacteria; Pseudomonadati; Spirochaetota; Spirochaetia; Spirochaetales; Spirochaetaceae
Rfam family: tRNA
About the family: Transfer RNA (tRNA) molecules are approximately 80 nucleotides in length. Their secondary structure includes four short double-helical elements and three loops (D, anti-codon, and T loops). Further hydrogen bonds mediate the characteristic L-shaped molecular structure. tRNAs have two regions of fundamental functional importance: the anti-codon, which is responsible for specific mRNA codon recognition, and the 3' end, to which the tRNAs corresponding amino acid is attached (by aminoacyl-tRNA synthetases). tRNAs cope with the degeneracy of the genetic code in two manners: having more than one tRNA (with a specific anti-codon) for a particular amino acid; and 'wobble' base-pairing, i.e. permitting non-standard base-pairing at the 3rd anti-codon position.
Source: Rfam by way of RNAcentral
GGGUUCGUAGCUCAGCUGGAUAGAGCGUCGCCCUCCGGAGGCGAAGGUCGUGGGUUCGAAUCCCGCCGAACUCA